This 386-nucleotide ribosomal RNA is filed under the name uncultured bacterium. RNAcentral describes it as "bacterial SSU rRNA". It matches the Rfam family "Bacterial small subunit ribosomal RNA", at positions 958 to 1334 of the family's 1533-position model. The record is from RNAcentral.
AACGCGAAGAACCUUACCCACCUUUGACAUGUACGGAAUUUGCCAGAGAUGGCUCAGUGCUCGAAAGAGAACCGUAACACAGGUGCUGCAUGGCUGUCGUCAGCUCGUGUCGUGAGAUGUUGGGUUAAGUCCCGCAACGAGCGCAACCCUUGUCAUUAGUUGCUACAUUCAGUUGGGCACUCUAUUGAGACUGCCGGUGACAAACCGGAGGAAGGUGGGGAUGACGUCAAGUCCUCAUGGCCCUUAUAGGUGGGGCUACACACGUCAUACAAUGGCUGGUACAAAGGGUUGCCAACCCGCGAGGGGGAGCUAAUCCCAUAAAACCAGUCGUAGUCCGGAUCGCAGUCUGCAACUCGACUGCGUGAAGGCGGAAGCGGGUAGUAAGU